GGAAGGCUCCAUUUUGAGAAGCCUAUUCUGCCUUCUAGACUGAAGGAGAAACAUCAUAGAUGUGCUUGUGUGGCCAAGCCAGGCCAACUCUGAAAAGGCCAUCGAACAACUGGAGUUGCUUCUGGAGUGAGAGAAUUGGCCGUCUGCAAGGACAUUGCCCAGGGGACGCCCGGAUGUUUUGAUGUUUUUACCAUCCUUGUGGGAGGCUUCUCUCAUGUCCCCGCAUGGAGCUGGAGCUGAUAGAGGGAGCUCAUCCACACUCUCCCCAGGUGGGAUUCGAACCUGGAAGCUUUCAGAAAGCAUUUUGUGCUUAAAAAAAGAGAGAGAUUGGAAAUGUUGGGAAUCGUAUAGUUACAAAGAGAUAGAACAAGGAGGUAUUUCAAAAAUUGAUUAAAACAUCCAUAUUUCAGUCUACUUCCAUUAUACAAAGGAAAGUGAUCUGAAGAGGCAAGAGAGAAGAAAUAUGAGGAAACUGAUUAUUAUCAUUUAAACUGGAAGGAAAUAAAUGACAACUGUAAGAUAUUAUUGGGACAUCGUUUCAACUGGAAUGAACAUGGUCAGGCCAGUAUUGAAUAUAUUUUCAAUCACAGUGUUCAACUGGACAGGCAGGCUAUCAAUAACUCCAAAUUUUCAAAAUGGUACAGAUUGUAUACGAAAGGGCUAUUAUCUGAUCAAUAUUGGCCAUUUGGUUUCAAAGUAUGCCUACAGCUGUGAUUGAUGGCAGAUACUUAGACAGAUCUUUGGCUCUUUGUCUGUGUGUCUGUGGGGCCCCUGAAAUUGAGAAUUUGCCUCAUUACUUGUUUUCCUGCUCUUUGUAUACUGUGGUUAUUUACAAGGUUCUCUUUUUGCCUUGGCAGCACUGAAAAUCCGGGCAAGAUUAAUUGCUGAUAUUGCAGUUGACUGUGCUGGGGAUGCUUUUAUCUAAUUAUUGUGUGUUUGCUUAUAUUCAAAGUUCUCUUGUUUAAGUCUUCAAUAAUAUUGAUUUUUACAUGGCUUCUAACUAUGCAAGAGCUAGUUUAUGUAAUAUUUUUAAUGUUGCAUUGUUUGAUGUUUUGUAAUUUUAUAGUUGGGUUUAUGUGUACUUACUUGUUGGUUCUGUAUGUGAAAGACCUAUGGUCUAAGCAUUGAAUAAAAUUGAAAAAUAAAAAAGAGAAGAGUUCUGACAUUGUCCUAGAAAAACAGAAGAAGUGAUAAGAAGUAAGGAAUUCCUGAAGCAUCAUUAAAGAAGCAAAAGUCCAAUUGAGCGAUAGAUUGGGAAAGACAUCAUCCAAUAAGUAGCAAGUAAGGGUGCUUUGGAAAAAGCUUGGAAUCUUCUUGAAUCUUCUUGACAAUUUAUAGUAGACUGUCAAGAGUUUCUAACUCCCAUUUCUUUUUAAGCAUUAGCAGUAAUAUAUUACACUGGCCAACACAAAUUUUGGUGCCUCAAAUAUUAGUCUCAUUUCUAAAAAAUGGCAAUAGUUUUCCUCUAUCAGCUGUAGGUUUUGAGAUACAGAACAUAUGUCAUUUGCUCACCCAUGGAAAACUGUAAUAACUAUAUCUAAGAAACUAGUGCCGAUGUGGUCUAUCCAAUGCAAUUUUCUGAAUCAGCAUCCCAAAUAAUUUCAGAAACAGCCCUAAAAACCAGGGCUGUGUUAUCCUAGCUAGAAUGAAAAUUGUUCAUGUGACAAAACGUAAGCAUUUGCGUGAAGGGAUUCUGCGCUCAGUUAUGGUUCUGAAAAAAGUAAACACUUCAUGCCAUUAUUCUAAGGGAACAUUAUUUCAAACCAGUUUUCAUUUUUAGUGAUGGGGAAUCUAUGAAAAGAAAAGAAAAGAAAAGAAAAGAAAAGA
This is a long non-coding RNA of Anolis carolinensis (green anole), 1827 nucleotides long. RefSeq lists it as uncharacterized. The record is from RefSeq and is a predicted model, not a curated record. The transcript has 4 exons. NCBI's taxonomy places the organism in Eukaryota, Metazoa, Chordata, Lepidosauria, Squamata, Anolidae.